UUUAAUUUCUUUUAGUGAUUUUAUUCCAAAGCAAAGUGACCCUAGCUGGUAAAUUAUCAGAGGGACUUUAUAAUAGGUUUCUUCUCUCAUGCUCUUGCAACUGCUCACUGAAUUGGGCUCUUACAUCCUGAUUUGUGCUGUCAGUGGCACAGAUCUGUUAACUCAUUGUAUGAGUUUAUCACUUCUUGUUGUUCUGAUUUUAAAAGUCUUAUUUGUUAUUGCAGUUUAUGUGUUCUUAGAACACAUAAUAAAGAGGGACAUUUGGUGAUGUUUGGCUUAUUUAGAAAAUAGUUAUGAUCUAAAAAAUCAUAACUCUGGUUUUAUGAGGAAAAACAACCCAAGAGUGAACAAAAGCAAGCCAUUAAUAAAGGAAUGUGUAACUGAGGACCAUUUGGUGAUCUUGAGCUUCCUUUGCAAAUAGACUGUUACAGUCUAUUUUGAACUCAACGUCCAAAUGUUACCAGCUCUAAUACAAAGCAGAUUUAUUAGAUAUUGUCAUAAAAAGUGCUAUUUAUUUAUGUUUGUUGGUUUUGGUCUCUUUUUUAAUGUUCCCUUAGGUUUGGAAGGCUGACUGAGGAUAGCAGAGGCUUCAAAACAGACCUGCGGCUUACUGUGACCUUGGCCAGUUCACAUGGGACUUGGUGCUAAUUCAAGAGGAUGCGGUCACUGGAAGAACAAACCAGCAAUAGCGUCAGAGAAACAAAGUGCAGCAGAAUAAUAAGCAUCUGAACCAUAAACACUGCUACCACAUGUGAUGGACCAUAUCCAAGUUAAACACUCUCACCAGAGCAUGCUCCAAGACAGGCGACUGGGCCUCAGGCUUUGCCAAUACAAUGCAGUUCUAUUCUCUAUUUAUUUUUGUAGUUCAAAGACCUGGCAGUAGCCCAUUUGAUGCCUGCCAUAAGGACCAGUGCACUCUUGAUUACUGCCAUGAGAUUUCCAAGCCCACAGACGGCGUAUGUUCCAAUGUAUGCCAGUCACCAAGAUAGACUGUGCACAAAUAGCAGGAGGAUUCUCUGAGAGAAAGAAAAAAGCCAGCUCCUAUUUCCACUUUGAACCGCCCUGUAAUAGGCUGCCAACUUGAGGACCUUGCUUUAAUCACAGCAGCACAUGAAAGAGUUCAUUCUGUUUAUCUUGGUUCAUUUAGGAAACCAGUGAUAAGUCUGCCAUGAAAAAAAAUCCGUCUUCUCCUGGAAGCUGGCAUACUUGUCCCAAGAUAUGGGCUUUGAUUUCAAGUGCAGUUAUUUACAGUUAUACCACAGAGCACAUGAGUUUUCUCAUUCUACCAGAUGACUACUUUUCCCUGAUAAGCAAGCUGUGAAUACUUAAAAUUUCCUCUCAAGUACAAUGGCAUCUCUGUGUGGAAGUUGUAGGAAGAGGGCAGCAGAUGCUCCUACAGCUUCAGGUUAAGUGUGCAAGCUGCAUCCUGAUGUUCGCACCCAGCCAGGCAGGAAGAGGAGCUGGAGGAAGAGCUGUGGCCCACACAUAGGAGGGAACAAGGUGUGCAAUGUGACUAAACUUUCUUCCACUAGGCUUUCUGAAGCAAACAAGACAAGUGCAACUGUAAAUAAGGAUAUGAGGCUGGCACUCAACUACUGAAUAUGGAGUAUUACUUUGCCAUGAAAUAGCAAUACCAGAAAAAAAAAAAAGUUACAGACUAAUUGUGGAUAAAAACAUAUAAUCCUCUUCUGCAUGAGUGAACUGCAUUUUUUUGGCUGUGGAGUAUUGUGGAUAACCAAACAGAUAGUCUUGUCCCUGUAGAUCAGAACAAUAUAUGUACUUUUUAACUAUGCUACCAUCUACAGACCACUGGCAUCCCCCAGUGCUGUUUGUGGUAUAGCCAGAUUCUGUACUGCUGUUGCUUCAGUUUUCUGGGCUCACUAUGUACCUCGUAGGGUUUCAGUGUCAGUAAAUGCAAUUCUCUCUCUGCUAAUAAGAAGUUUUAGAAGGUGUGAAGUAGUUGACGGGUUCUUUUGAACCUAGUGGAUGCAAGGUAGUGGCUGUUGAUGAUGGGAGUACGCACUGGAGACUAUUUAGUCUCAGGUUGCUAAAGGAUUUCGGAAGCUGCGACUGAGUGGAAGACAUUUGUGAACAUAUUUGAUUUCUGGACCCUACAUGAACCCUUAACUUCUGGCAAAGACAGAAAUGAGAAUGGAGAGAAAAACUCUUGUAUUUGGAGAAAGAUGUAUUAUUUUCAAAUUCUGAAGGAUCAUUAUCUUCAGCACAACUAUUUUUCCUCUUGAAAUGUAGGUUAUAUUACUACAUUUGCUUCUGACUUCUCAGCCCUUGGCACCCAUAAUUCUAUUUUUCCAUUUAAAAAACUGCUGAGGUCUCUGUGCUGAUAUCUCAGCAAACACAAUAUUUCAUCUCUGACUGUAUCCUGUUUAGUCUGGAUUUGUUCAUGUUCACAAGCAAUAGAUUUGAAAUACAGCCUCACAGAAUAAUCAGUAAUAAACACACAAAAGUGACAGGCAAUAAUUUCAUAGUUUUCAUAAGAGAUAAAGUAAGAUAUCUUACUAAACUUUGCCAUAUCAUGUGAAUGUGCCAAUUUACCUCUCACAGUACGUUAGAUACAUUUGUAUUGUGAGAUAUUGGGAGAUGCUACUAUAAAUCUUGCAGUAUCUUGCAAAUGUGCAAUUACUCUUCACAAGUGCCCAGAUGGGGAUUAUAUCUCAUUAUGUCAAGUGCUAUGCAAAAAACAAAUGUCAGCUGUACUUAAUGAUGUUGGAAAGUUCAAGAACAGAUCUGCUGAUGAAAAAAAAAACAAAAAAUGGUCAGUAUCUGCUUGAAUCACAACUCAAAUGACUGGCUGUUUACAUUAACCUUGUCCAAAGCAUGUAAUCAUCCUGAGAAUGCAAAACUGGACUGAAUCACAAGAGUGAUGUUCCUUCCAAGCUUUCCGCUAGG
Neopsephotus bourkii (Bourke's parrot) is the source of this 2907-nucleotide long non-coding RNA. RefSeq lists it as uncharacterized. Lineage: Eukaryota; Metazoa; Chordata; Aves; Psittaciformes; Psittacidae. The record is from RefSeq and is a predicted model, not a curated record. The transcript has 4 exons.